CGAAGCACAAACACUUUUGCCCGGCUCUGUACGAUGUGAUCCCCAAAAAUUCUGCCGAUUCCGCCCAAAUCAUCCACCGAGUCUCCAAAAUUUCGUUUCCCUCGAUUGUCCUCGAUCCGGAGGGGAGUUCAAAUUCCGCUAAAGUUCCUCGAUGUUAAUUUUGAAAAAUAGAUUGAGAGAGAGAGUUUUCACCUUUUCUACUUUGCUACCGUCGAUCGAUCCAUGGGCCUGACCUUACGAAACCUCGGGCGGCGACGGAGCGCGAUCGGUAAUGGUGAAGUAUUAUGGUGAUCGUCAUCCAUCGGCGGCGAGCGUUGAGGGGAAGGACUCUAUAAAAGGUUGCUUACUGAGUUCACUUUCAAUUCAAAGCUCGUCAUCAUUAUCCUUACCAUCAUCGCCGGCGAUACUACGCAGCUCGCCGAUGCUAUCCCUGCCACCAUACGUGGUAACAUUUCUCCAGAGACCAAAUCCUAAUGCCGGUGUUUCCCAUAAGUUUGAUUGUCAUGCCAAGCAAGAUUUCUGCAUGAGUGAGAAUGAGAUCAACUGGAAAAUGCCAAAGUUUAGGUCUAAAUAAAUGAUUCACUGACAGAUCCUUCAAAUAGAAGUGAAUCAGGCAAACUGAAGAUCAAAAGCAUUUCACUGACGAAAUUGUUCACUUCAGAGCAAAUUAGGGUUCACAUUGUUGGUCUGAGGAAAUAGUUUGUCAGGUAGAUGGCACUCAAUUUAAGAAGGCAAAGUUUAGCUAGUGGAGAAAUAACGAGGAAACAGAAGAAUCUCUAAAGUUCUACAUCCUGGGAAUUUUUGUUCUCUUAUCUUCCCUUCUUCUUUGCUCUAGAAGACUAAAUGUUCCUUUUAUUAUUAUUAUUGUUUCCUGUGUGGGUGUAUGAGUUUUCAGGGUCUAUAAAAAAUUCUCAAAGUCAAGACCUGUAUAAAUCUUUACAUCUUAUGCAGUGGGAAGAUUGGCUCCCUCAAACCUCUUUAAUGGCCAAAAAAAUGAUGGAGGACAGGCAGAUGGCCUAAGUGCUUUGUUAAGGAGGUAUAAAGAAGUGAACGUACACCGUUGCCACAUAAUGCUAUUCUCAAUCGACGAUGUCAACAACAAGAUAAUAAAGAGCAACAAACCAAGGGGAAAAUAGAAAGGAUUAUUUCAAAAAGGACACUGAAAAGCUGCUGGUCGUACUGAUCCUUCUAGCAAUUUCUCCAAGGAUGCUUUGUUAUGCAGAAACUUGGUGAGACCAUUUGCUCAUUGAAGGAGGAUUUCAUCAUGGUUCAUCUGCAGACUGCAUGCUGCACCCACUGCUAUCUUCGUAUGGUCUUUGGGACAUGUCCGGUGUGCAACCAAUGCAAAAAGUUCCAACUCUAUGACGAGUUGAAGAAUUUCAGUUUGUAUCUUGAGGGUUAUUGCUUGAUUUGGCAGGAGAAUAAUGACAUCAAUGGAUAGUAUUGAUCACACUUUUGGAGAUCUUCUACAAUUUCUGGAUUUCCAUAGCACUAAUUUUUUACGAAGAUAAUCUGGCUUAAGGUCGUCUCUGAAAGUUGGAGGGGGGCAACCUCCUUGUCCCAUCUUAAAGAAUUGAUGCGGAACUAGGCUUUUCUUGUAGAGAUAUUUCUCGACGUAGCAGUCAUGGAAGAUGUGUGGAAGAGUAGGCCCAUCCCUUUUGAGGCUGCCGACCAACAAUACCUUUUCCCACGCAAGCCAAAUCUCUCUCUGCUCACUGACGAGCAGACUAAGACACGGAGGAAAGCCAAGCAGACGUGAGACCGCCGCCUGGAUUUUAAUCCGGUAUUUGCUGACCCAUACCUUUUCAGCAUAGUCCUCAACGAUAUUGUGCCAGUAAAAUUGUAGCGCGAUAUAGCAUCCGUGCCAAUAGCACAACUCAAAAUUUUUUAUUCUUGAAAUUAAUAUAUAAUUUUCCCAAUAAAUUUUAA
Long non-coding RNA from Ananas comosus (pineapple), 1929 nucleotides. RefSeq lists it as uncharacterized. Lineage: Eukaryota; Viridiplantae; Streptophyta; Magnoliopsida; Poales; Bromeliaceae. The record is from RefSeq and is a predicted model, not a curated record. The transcript is spliced from 6 exons.